RNAcentral lists this ribosomal RNA (652 nucleotides) under uncultured bacterium. Its description in RNAcentral is "bacterial SSU rRNA". It matches the Rfam family "Bacterial small subunit ribosomal RNA", at positions 62 to 703 of the family's 1533-position model. The record is from RNAcentral.
UCGAGGGGCAGCAUAUAGAUUGCUUGCAAUUUAUGAUGGCGACCGGCGCACGGGUGAGUAACGCGUAUCCAACCUACCCAUUACUAGGGAAUAACCCAGCGAAAGUUGGCCUAAUGCCCUAUGUAGUCGUUUGAUCGCCUGAGAUUUCGACGAAAGAUUUAUCGGUAUUGGAUGGGGAUGCGUCUGAUUAGCUUGUUGGCGGGGUAAAGGCCCACCAAGGCAACGAUCAGUAGGGGUUCUGAGAGGAAGGUCCCCCACAUUGGAACUGAGACACGGUCCAAACUCCUACGGGAGGCAGCAGUGAGGAAUAUUGGUCAAUGGGCGAGAGCCUGAACCAGCCAAGUAGCAUGCAGGAUGACGGCCCUAUGGGUUGUAAACUGCUUUUAUAUGGGAAUAAAGUGAGGGACGUGUCCCUUAUUGCAUGUACCAUACGAAUAAGGACCGGCUAAUUCCGUGCCAGCAGCCGCGGUAAUACGGAAGGUCCAGGCGUUAUCCGGAUUUAUUGGGUUUAAAGGGAGCGUAGGCUGUUUGUUAAGCGUGUUGUGAAAUGUAGGAGCUCAACUUUUAGAUUGCAGCGCGAACUGGCAGACUUGAGUGCGCACAACGUAGGCGGAAUUCAUGGUGUAGCGGUGAAAUGCUUAGAUAUCAUGAC